CCUACGGGAGGCUGCAGUGGGGAAUAUUGGACAAUGGGCGAAAGCCUGAUCCAGCCAUGCCGCGUGUGUGAAGAAGGCCUUCGGGUUGUAAAGCACUUUCAGUGGGGAAGAAAGCCUUGGGGCUAAUACCCUCGAGGAAGGACAUCACCCACAGAAGAAGCACCGGCUAACUCCGUGCCAGCAGCCGCGGUAAUACGGAGGGUGCGAGCGUUAAUCGGAAUUACUGGGCGUAAAGCGCGCGUAGGCGGUCUGAUAAGCCGGUUGUGAAAGCCCCGGGCUCAACCUGGGAACGGCAUCCGGAACUGUCAGGCUAGAGUGCAGGAGAGGAAGGUAGAAUUCCCGGUGUAGCGGUGAAAUGCGUAGAGAUCGGGAGGAAUACCAGUGGCGAAGGCGGCCUUCUGGACUGACACUGACGCUGAGGUGCGAAAGCGUGGGUAGCAAACAGGAUUAGAUCCCCCGGUAGUC
RNAcentral lists this ribosomal RNA (465 nucleotides) under Vreelandella stevensii. RNAcentral describes it as "partial 16S ribosomal RNA". It matches the Rfam family "Bacterial small subunit ribosomal RNA", at positions 338 to 795 of the family's 1533-position model. The record is from RNAcentral. Lineage: Bacteria; Pseudomonadati; Pseudomonadota; Gammaproteobacteria; Oceanospirillales; Halomonadaceae.